CAAAUCAAACCAGCAAAAAUAGGCUUAGGACCUAGAAAUUUCUAUUAAAUUGGACCAAACCUGAAUUAGACCGAAUCAAGAUAUAAAUACCUUUUUGGGGUUGAGGAAAGAGAAACCCAAAAAUUUUCUUUCUUCGUUGUAUGUUAAAAGUGCUGCCUCCCUCUCCUUCCCGUUUUCAGACCAAACGGCCAUAGUUUCCGGCGAGCUAGCAGUCUAAACACAUCUACUCGACGAAAGGAACUUCAUCCUAGCCUUGCUUCGCGCGAUUUAAACUGUAGUCAUGUAAAAUCGGGUCUGAAAUUUUUAUUAACGAUGCAGCGUUGCUUUCCAGUGAAUUCAUGCCUUCUCCGACGAGUUUAGGCUUCGGGAUGGGUACUAGUUGAUCUCUCCCUCCUGCGCGAACAUUUUCCCUCUAUCAAUCAAGGUUUUCGGUGGAGAACGAUGAACCACCGUGAUCGGUGGCUCCUUUGGUGGCUGUCGAGGCUCAUUCCGGCCAAAUGGGCCACUGACUCGACAAAUGGACACUAAAUUCGAGUCCCCAAUGAAAUUUCGAGCAGAGUGGUGUAGGCCUCGUGAAGUUCCAGCGAUGCACGAUUUUUCGAAUAUCCGGCAAGGACUUAGAGGCAGAAUCAUCUACUCUUCAAGCUGAUCUCAAAUCUGCAAUCCAAUUUUGUGAGUUCUAAGCGUCAACACUACUUUUGUAAAAAUUCGAUUAAAGGUUAUUAAUUUAAAUUAGAUCAAAUUAGUUUAGUUAAGUGGAUUAAUAUUGAAUGAGCUUAAGUAAAUGCUAAUUUAGUUAAUUGAGUUAAUGGUUGACAUAAAACGUUGUGAAAUUAGAGUAGAAUUUGAUAUCCAUAAGUUACCAUUAUGAAUGGCACAUAUAUUACUUCUAAGGUUUGAAUGUUAUUAUUUAAUGAAUAUUAAGUUGUGAUUGAUAUAAGAUAUGCAAGGUUUGAUAGUAAUUCUAGUUAAUGAUUGAAAACAGACUUGUGAAUGACCGAGUUGCUAUUUAAAUUGUGUAAUUGAAUUGAGCAGUUAAUUAUAUAAUCAAAAUUGAUGAUGUGAAAUGAUUGGUUCUAGAUUGUGUUGAUAAUGGAAGGAGGAAGAGCUUAAUUGAUUGAUUUGCCCGACGGAUGGGCAGUGAUUAUAUGCUGACUUUCCUUGAAUUGGAAACGAGUAGAUUAUUCUAAUUAUAGGGGAGAUGCUGCCGGAUUUUCAUCAACACAUCUUCAGAUAAUUAGAUUAAUUACAUUAUUAUUUUUUUUUUUUUUAACACGAAAUUGGGCAAAGGAUAUGUGAAGUAAUGCUAUUGACUUAGAAUAAAGAAAUGAACGUGAGAAGUAUAACUUGAUAUAGUUUGAAUCAGGUAAACAGCUCCAUUUUAUGGGAGAUGCUGCCGAAUUUUCUGUAGCACAAAGUCAAAUAAUGAAAUCAGCUGAUUUUUUUUAUUUUUAUUAAUUAAUAUUUACAGAAGAUUAUUUAGUUAAAGAAUUAUAAUGAGGUUAGAUUAGCAUGUAUAACAUAUAUAGAUUAUGAUAGGAUACUUAAGAUUAGAAAACUGAGAUAGGGGAUUUAUGUCGGUCUAGAAUAUUUGGAUUAAAUGAUUGGGAAAAAAUAGAUACAAUAUUAUUAAAAAUUAGAAUUUAAAAAGGACAAUUAAAAUUCAUGAAUAGUAAACUUAUUUUGGUUCUUUCUUUAGAUAUUCUUGUAGGUCCCGAGGAAUCAAAUCUCAAAUAGCAGAGUAUCGGGAAAGGAAUAUAGCUUCUAACUAAACUGUAUAACAGUGAGUAGUAUUAGAUAAUUCCCAUCAUCCACCUGCAUUUGCAUCCAUGCAUACAUGGCUAAAUGCUAGACAUGCGUUACUUAGUAAUUUGUAUUUUGUGUUCCAUUAUUUUUUGCUAUUGGAAAUGAUUUGAUUAGUUGUGACGUGCUUCAUGUUUGUUUUGCUUGUGUGGAGUUGGGAUGAAGUGGGUCACCGUUGGGUUUGUAAGGGCGGUCUAUGAUACCGUCAGCCAUCUAUGGAGAGGUCAGCGCCCUCAUGUGCAUCUGAUAAAAUAUUGUCACGACCCAUCUUCGCGGGGCGGACCAGCCCUAGGACUGGGCAGGCUUAAGGCCUCUGAAGCCCGUAGUAAGCCUAUCUUAGUUAACCCAUAUUCUAUUACUAAUUGUGGCUUCAGGCCCAAUAACUUAUUUCACUAAUACAUCAAAAGUACAAUUCAUAUAAUUAAUUUAUGUACUCUUAUUAUUCAAUUACAAUCCAUUUGGAAUACAAUUGCGGAACUCCAUAAUUGACAGUCCUUUACAUUUACAUCAUUAUUACAAAUAUCAACAGUCU
Molecule: long non-coding RNA, 2335 nt
Filed under: Jatropha curcas
Lineage: Eukaryota; Viridiplantae; Streptophyta; Magnoliopsida; Malpighiales; Euphorbiaceae
Description: long non-coding RNA (JCUR_LNC001324)
Source: RNAcentral